Long non-coding RNA from Cyclopterus lumpus (lumpfish), 1485 nucleotides. RefSeq lists it as uncharacterized. NCBI's taxonomy places the organism in Eukaryota, Metazoa, Chordata, Actinopteri, Perciformes, Cyclopteridae. The transcript is spliced from 2 exons. The record is from RefSeq and is a predicted model, not a curated record.
UUCAUUUAUUUCAUUAACUAUUCUCCAGAAAUGUACCUUACCAUUAAAGCUGCAUGGUCUAACCCGACGGCUUUUAACAGUUAUGUUAACAUUACUUGACAAAACAAAAUGCAGUGAUAUUAAUAUAACUUGUGUGCCUCAUUACUAACCUUUGUGUUCCUACAAUUGCAUUAACCAAUGCGCUCUCUUCGCUAGCUAGCUAGGUUAGCUUGUUGUAGCGGUGGAGCGGUGGAAACCACCAAACUCGGUCUGAGCUGGUAUCUCAAAAAAGCAUAAUAUAUACGGGAUAAUGAGGAAGGUUAUUAAAUUGUGGCAUUGAAUUGACAACUUGUUCAGUCCUUUAGCGGCGUAAAGACAACGUAGACCAACUUUUUUAACAUAAGCUUAUGACUUAAGUUAAAUAAAGUUACAGCACAGUAAAGUUGACAUGUUUGUUAACUUCACAGUAGCGCAAAACACUGUUCAACUGCAACAACUUGGUUAUAACUUGUUCGUUAACUAACUAUAAUUAAACAGGUCUUACCUUUGGGGAAACAGCAGCCCUUCAACACGUGGCAGAAGAUGUGCAUGUGGCGCAGAAUGCGUUAGGCGGAAGUGGAAGUUGAUUAAAAACAAGGACCUCCAAAUGAGUAAAAUUCAUCAAUUUCCUGCAUCUUUGACUUUAUUGAUGAAAUAUAAUUAAAGUUUACUCCGUGAUUCACAGCUGAUUUUAUUCAUUCACAAUUAAGUAAAAAGUAAUUAAUAAUUAAACAACAUUUCUUAAACUCAGCUCAAUGUAAUUAAAAACGGUACAUAGUCAUUUUUAUUAUGUAAAAGUUACUAUUAUUUAUUUAGGAGAUAUUAAUUCAUUCAAAUCCCAGUUUUUACAGUGUGUGUCGUUGCCCUGCUGUAACUGAGAUAAUGAUGCUGCGUCGUCUCUGCAUCUCCAGUCGUGAAGAAGAACAAUGUCCUGCAGCUGCAUGUUGAUGCAGCCAGUGAGCACAGCGUCGGCCCCAAACAGAGCCGCUCUGCAGGGUCCAAAGAGACCGUUUACCUGAUGGCGUCACAGUUCCUGGUCUGCCUGCAGGCCUGCCAGACUUCCACGGCUGCAUCCGCCAAGCGACGAUCAACCGCAGACCUGCCAUGCUGUCCAAACCCCUCGCUGUGUGUGGAGCCGUGGGGACGCAGGGCUGCCCACACAUGUAAACCCAAUACACAGUCUUAUCUUCACAUUCCCAAACUGACAAUUACUGGUGAUGGGUGUCAUGUUACUGUAGCUAAUUUAAAAUAUAUAUUCAUAUUUAUUUUCUAUUUUCAGAAAAAAUUACAUUUUAUAUUUUACAGUUUGUUGUUGCAAUAUUACUGGUUUGUUAUUGUACUACAGGGUGCUAUAACAACUGCAUAGAGAUACAAGUGACUGCUACAAGAUAUCAAAUAUCAACUCUAAAAUCUAAAGAUAAUUCUGAAAUGUGAAGUUUAUUGUCAAUAAAGGCAACACUGCUUGAA